Long non-coding RNA from Spinacia oleracea (spinach), 1081 nucleotides. RefSeq lists it as uncharacterized. NCBI's taxonomy places the organism in Eukaryota, Viridiplantae, Streptophyta, Magnoliopsida, Caryophyllales, Amaranthaceae. The transcript has 4 exons. The record is from RefSeq and is a predicted model, not a curated record.
UUUAUUUGCUUGAAUUCAUGGUUAAUUGAGCAAUAUCCAGAUUAGGUGGAUUAAUUCUUGAGUGUUUGUUUGUUUGUUUGUUUCAUUGUUUGUGAUUACUCUCACUACUAUAAACAGGUUGGUCUAACAAUUUUAUGUCAGAGCACUGAUGUUUAAGAAAAAUGACAUUUCGUUUAUGAUUUUGUGGUUUAUCUCGUACACAUAUGUUAGCUUUUCGAGGUUUGACUUUUAUUCUGAAAUCUUGUUGUAGGUUUUGUUUUGCUGCCGAAGUUGCAGUAGAAGAGUGUUAGGGUGUAUAAAUGUACUUAGUUUUGAAAAUAGGACAACAACAAGGCAGUAGUAUUGGCAGCAAUAGCUGUAAUAGUGGGUUGUUUUCUAGCUAAGACUCUCAUGGAAUAUCUCUGAAGAAAAGCCUUGAUGUUACCCCUUUGAAAUCUCAAGCGAUGCAUUUCCGUCCCCUGUGCAAUCAUGAGUUAGAUGUCAGAGAUGUUUGGGUUCCAUAAGCUUGUCAAAAACUUGAAUGAUUUGUUUAAUCUCUGUGGCUGCAUAAUAAUUUUGGGAUAUACUCAUUUUGGACUUAGAAAUAACCACAAAUAGAUGAUGCGGGAAAUGAAGUUAAGAGUUUAAUAGCCAAGCUCUUUGAGCAAGAAAAUAUUGUCGUUGCUUGAAGCAGAAGAUGCAGACAUUAGAAUUCAAGUUGUAACAAUUGUUGCAAAUUUGGCUGCAAAACGUGAAGGACUCUAGUUGUUAAUUGAAUCUGCUACAAAGUAUUUGAAUAUUUCCACCUAUAUUGUUAGAAAAUUUCGUGAUUUGAGUCAUUUGUCUCACCAUGAUCUUGCAGAAACAAAUCAGGGGAAGAUUGUAGAGGCAGGUGGCCGGGAUUACGUCCUUGUGUUGAAUCUUCUUAGAAGCUCUGAGAAUGAGACCAUACAUCGAGUUGUUGCUGGCGUUAUUGCGAAUUAAGCAAUGAAUGAAAGUAACUGAAGUCAUCAGCUACAAUUUUCAUGUCAUUCAGGGAUUUGGAGUUUGUUUUCUGCUUGUAGUUUUCCAGGUUCCUGCACAUUAUGUUGCAAUGGUUCCU